GAUGAACGCUGGCGGCGUGCCUAAUACAUGCAAGUCGAGCGAACGGACGAGAAGCUUGCUUCUCUGAUGUUAGCGGCGGACGGGUGAGUAACACGUGGAUAACCUACCUAUAAGACUGGGAUAACUUCGGGAAACCGGAGCUAAUACCGGAUGAUAUUUUGAACCGCAUGGUUCAAAAGUGAAAGACGGUCUUGCUGUCACUUAUAGAUGGAUCCGCGCUGCAUUAGCUAGUUGGUAAGGUAACGGCUUACCAAGGCAACGAUGGAUAGCCGACCUGAGAGGGUGAUCGGCCACACUGGAACUGAGACACGGUCCAGACUCCUACGGGAGGCAGCAGUAGGGAAUCUUCCGCAAUGGGCGAAAGCCUGACGGAGCAACGCCGCGUGAGUGAUGAAGGUCUUCGGAUCGUAAAACUCUGUUAUUAGGGAAGAACAUAUGUGUAAGUAACUGUGCACAUCUUGACGGUACCUAAUCAGAAAGCCACGGCUAACUACGUG
RNAcentral lists this ribosomal RNA (497 nucleotides) under uncultured bacterium. Its description in RNAcentral is "partial 16S ribosomal RNA". It matches the Rfam family "Bacterial small subunit ribosomal RNA", at positions 28 to 507 of the family's 1533-position model. The record is from RNAcentral.